This 550-nucleotide ribosomal RNA is filed under the name uncultured bacterium. RNAcentral's name for it is "bacterial SSU rRNA". It matches the Rfam family "Bacterial small subunit ribosomal RNA", at positions 355 to 896 of the family's 1533-position model. The record is from RNAcentral.
UGGGGAAUCUUCCGCAAUGGGCGAAAGCCUGACGGAGCAACGCCGCGUGAGUGAUGACGGCCUUCGGGUUGUAAAGCUCUGUUAUAUGGGACGAACGGGCAUGGGGCGAAUACCCUCAUGCAGUGACGGUACCGUAAGAGAAAGCCACGGCUAACUACGUGCCAGCAGCCGCGGUAAUACGUAGGUGGCAAGCGUUGUCCGGAAUUAUUGGGCGUAAAGGGCGUGUAGGCGGCCAGACAAGUCUGUCUUAAAAGUGCGGGGCUCAACCCCGUGAUGGGAUGGAAACUGUCGGGCUAGAGUGUCGGAGAGGAAAGCGGAAUUCCUAGUGUAGCGGUGAAAUGCGUAGAUAUUAGGAGGAACACCAGUGGCGAAAGCGGCUUUCUGGACGACAACUGACGCUGAGGCGCGAAAGCCAGGGGAGCAAACGGGAUUAGAUACCCCGGUAGUCCUGGCCGUAAACGAUGGGUACUAGGUGUAGGAGGUAUCGACCCCUUCUGUGCCGGAGUUAACGCAAUAAGUAUCCCGCCUGGGGAGUACGGCCGCAAGGCUG